UCUUCGGAGAGUUUGAUCCUGGCUCAGGAUGAACGCUGGCGGCGUGCCUAAUACAUGCAAGUCGAGCGGACUGAUUAGAAGCUUGCUUCUAUGACGUUAGCGGCGGACGGGUGAGUAACACGUGGGCAACCUGCCUGUAAGACUGGGAUAACUUCGGGAAACCGAAGCUAAUACCGGAUAGGAUCUUCUCCUUCAU
Molecule: ribosomal RNA, 196 nt
Filed under: Priestia megaterium
Lineage: Bacteria; Bacillati; Bacillota; Bacilli; Caryophanales; Bacillaceae
Also listed under: 2 other names
Description: partial 16S ribosomal RNA
Rfam family: Bacterial small subunit ribosomal RNA
Source: RNAcentral